Molecule: ribosomal RNA, 497 nt
Filed under: uncultured bacterium
Lineage: Bacteria
Description: partial 16S ribosomal RNA
Rfam family: Bacterial small subunit ribosomal RNA
Source: RNAcentral
GAUGAACGCUGGCGGCGGGCCUAAUACAUGCAAGUCGAGCGAACGGACGAGAAGCUUUCUUUUCUGAUGUUAGCGGCGGACGGGUGAGUAACACGUGGAUAACCGACCGAUAAGACUGGGAUAACUGCGGGAAACCGGAGCUAAUACCGGGUAAUAUUUUGAACCGCAUGGUUCAAAAGUGAAAGACGGUCUUGCUGUCACUUAUAGAUGGAUCCGCGCUGCAUUAGCUAGUUGGUAAGGUAACGGCUUACCAAGGCAACGAUGCAUAGCCGACCUGAGAGGGUGAUCGGCCACCCGGGAACUGAGACACGGUCCAGACUCCACAGAGAGGCAGCAGUAGGGAAUCUUCCGCAACGGGCGAAAGCCUGACGGAGCAACGCCGCGUGAGUGAUGAAGGUCUUCGGAUCGUAAAACUCUGUUAUUAGGGAAGAACAUAUGUGUAAGUAACUGUGCACAUCUUGACGGUAACCAAUCAGAAAGCCACGGCUAACUCCGUG